CCUGGUGGCUUAGAUUGUAAAGAAUCUGCCUGCAAUGCAGAAGAUCCAGGUUCAAUCCCUGGGUCAGGA
RNAcentral lists this transfer RNA (69 nucleotides) under Capra hircus (goat). It matches the Rfam family "tRNA". From Rfam's summary of the family: Transfer RNA (tRNA) molecules are approximately 80 nucleotides in length. Their secondary structure includes four short double-helical elements and three loops (D, anti-codon, and T loops). Further hydrogen bonds mediate the characteristic L-shaped molecular structure. tRNAs have two regions of fundamental functional importance: the anti-codon, which is responsible for specific mRNA codon recognition, and the 3' end, to which the tRNAs corresponding amino acid is attached (by aminoacyl-tRNA synthetases). tRNAs cope with the degeneracy of the genetic code in two manners: having more than one tRNA (with a specific anti-codon) for a particular amino acid; and 'wobble' base-pairing, i.e. permitting non-standard base-pairing at the 3rd anti-codon position. RNAcentral also lists the same sequence under 1 other name. Lineage: Eukaryota; Metazoa; Chordata; Mammalia; Artiodactyla; Bovidae. The record is from Rfam by way of RNAcentral.